UGGGGAAUAUUGGACAAUGGGCGAAAGCCUGAUCCAGCCAUGCCGCGUGUGUGAAGAAGGUCUUCGGAUUGUAAAGCACUUUAAGUUGGGAGGAAGGGCAGUAAGCGAAUACCUUGCUGUUUUGACGUUACCGACAGAAUAAGCACCGGCUAACUCUGUGCCAGCAGCCGCGGUAAUACAGAGGGUGCAAGCGUUAAUCGGAAUUACUGGGCGUAAAGCGCGCGUAGGUGGUUCGUUAAGUUGAAUGUGAAAGCCCCGGGCUCAACCUAAGAACUGCAUCCAAAACUGGCGGGCUAGAGUAGGGGAGAGGGUGGUGGAAUUACCUGUGUAGCGGUGAAAUGCGUAGAUAUAGGAAGGGAAACCAGUGGCGAAGGCGACCAGCUGGGCUGAUACUGACACUGAGGUGCGGAAGCGUGGGGAGCAAACAAG
This 429-nucleotide ribosomal RNA is filed under the name Pseudomonadota bacterium. RNAcentral's name for it is "Proteobacteria bacterium partial 16S ribosomal RNA". It matches the Rfam family "Bacterial small subunit ribosomal RNA", at positions 355 to 776 of the family's 1533-position model. Lineage: Bacteria; Pseudomonadati; Pseudomonadota. The record is from RNAcentral.